RNAcentral lists this unclassified non-coding RNA (217 nucleotides) under Hevea brasiliensis (rubber tree). Lineage: Eukaryota; Viridiplantae; Streptophyta; Magnoliopsida; Malpighiales; Euphorbiaceae. The record is from RNAcentral.
GCACUAAUGCCAUCGGUUACGAUCUCUCACCAGGGUGUUCAUUUGCGCGAUACAUGUCUGGUCAGGGAUUUGACACAUGGAUUCUUGAAGUUCGAGGUGCUGGAUUGAGUGUACGGANNNNNNNNNNAAAUUCAGCAGUCUGCGCAUGCAGUGUCUGAACAGAUGGAAGCUGUUGCUAAGACUGUAAAUAAUGGAGCCUUAUCUAACAAUCAGCAGC